CCGCACACGUUAUGGCUUCUUUGAAGUUCAGGUUCCUGAUCUAUACAAUGAUGUGGGGUUCCCCUCUGUAUGCUGUGAAUAUGUCUUAUAGAAGUUGCUUUGGCCCAUCGCAGGGUGGAAUAGAGCUAGGUGGGAAAACUAAACUGAAGGCAGAGAGAAAGAAGAUGGAGUCAGGGAGAUGCCAUGUACCUGCCGAAGGAGAGGGACACCAGAACAUUACUGCUCACUAUUCUCCAAGGGAGCAACUUGGAGAUGAUUAAGGCAGGACCCUCAAAAUGAAAUUCACGUCCUUGGAAAGCAGUCUGAGAGAUUGAGCUUGCCCUUGGGGUUGUGUGAUGUCACAAUCAGGGGUUGCUACCCUUGAAGGAGAAAGAAGAAGCCCUCAGCAGAUGAGGAAUCUGCAGGCACAUGAUCUUAUUUUCCCAGGGCCAGGACUGUGAGCAAUGCGUCUCUGUAGUUUCUAAACGUCUCGGGGUGACAAAGGACUGGUCCUGGA
Microtus oregoni (creeping vole) is the source of this 496-nucleotide long non-coding RNA. RefSeq lists it as uncharacterized. The transcript is spliced from 3 exons. NCBI's taxonomy places the organism in Eukaryota, Metazoa, Chordata, Mammalia, Rodentia, Cricetidae. The record is from RefSeq and is a predicted model, not a curated record.